UACGAAGGUGGCAAGCGUUGUUCGGAUUUACUGGGCGUAAAGGGAGCGUAGGUGGUCGGGUAAGCCCCGCAGGAAAGCUCCAGGCUUAACCUGGAAAGGUCGCGGGGGACUGCGCGGCUAGAGGACGGGAGAGGAGCGCGGAAUUCCCGGUGUAGCGGUGAAAUGCGUAGAGAUCGGGAGGAAGGCCGGUGGCGAAGGCGGCGCUCUGGAACGGCCCUGACACUGAGGCUCGAAAGCGUGGGGAGCAAACAGGA
This 254-nucleotide ribosomal RNA is filed under the name uncultured prokaryote. RNAcentral describes it as "partial 16S ribosomal RNA". It matches the Rfam family "Bacterial small subunit ribosomal RNA", at positions 524 to 777 of the family's 1533-position model. The record is from RNAcentral.